GACGAACGCUGGCGGCGUGCUUAACACAUGCAAGUCGAACGGAAAGGCCCUGCUUUUGUGGGGUACUCGAGUGGCGAACGGGAGAGUAACACGAGAGUAACCUGCCCUUGACUUUGGGAUAACUUCAGGAAACUGGGGCUAAUACCGGAUAGGAGCUCCUGCUGCAUGGUGGGGGUUGGAAAGUUUCGGCGGUUGGGGAUGGACUCGCGGCUUAUCAGCUUGUUGGUGGGGUAGUGGCUUACCAAGGCUUUGACGGGUAGCCGGCCGGAGAGGGUGACCGGCAACAUGGGGACUGAGAGACGGCCCAGACUGCUACGGGAGGCAACAGUGGGGAAUAUUGCACAAUGGGCGGAAGCCUGAUGCAGCAGCGCCGCGUGCGGGAUGACGGCCUUCGGGUUGUAAACCGCUUUCGCCUGUGACGAAGCGUGAGUGACGGUAAUGGGUAAAGAAGCACCGGCUAACUACGUG
Molecule: ribosomal RNA, 468 nt
Filed under: uncultured bacterium
Lineage: Bacteria
Description: partial 16S ribosomal RNA
Rfam family: Bacterial small subunit ribosomal RNA
Source: RNAcentral